This 497-nucleotide ribosomal RNA is filed under the name uncultured bacterium. Its description in RNAcentral is "partial 16S ribosomal RNA". It matches the Rfam family "Bacterial small subunit ribosomal RNA", at positions 28 to 507 of the family's 1533-position model. The record is from RNAcentral.
GAUGAACGCUGGCGGCGUGCCUAAUACAUGCAAGUCGAGCGAACAGACGAGGAGCUUGCUCCUCUGACGUUAGCGGCGGACGGGUGAGUAACACGUGGAUAACCUACCUAUAAGACUGGGAUAACUUCGGGAAACCGGAGCUAAUACCGGAUAAUAUAUUGAACCGCAUGGUUCAAUAGUGAAAGACGGUUUUGCUGUCACUUAUAGAUGGAUCCGCGCCGCAUUAGCUAGUUGGUAAGGUAACGGCUUACCAAGGCAACGAUGCGUAGCCGACCUGAGAGGGUGGUCGGCCACACUGGAACUGGGACACGGUCCAGGCUCCUACGGGAGGCAGCAGUAGGGAAUCGUCCGCAAUAGGCGAAAACCUGACGGAACAACGCCGCGUGAGUUAUGAAGGUCUUCGGAUCGGAAAACUCUGUUAUUGGGGAAGAACAAAUGUGUAAGUAACUAUGGACGUCUUGACGGUACCUAAUCAGAAAGCCACGGCUAACUACGUG